This 465-nucleotide ribosomal RNA is filed under the name uncultured Rhodocyclaceae bacterium. RNAcentral's name for it is "bacterial SSU rRNA". It matches the Rfam family "Bacterial small subunit ribosomal RNA", at positions 919 to 1382 of the family's 1533-position model. Lineage: Bacteria; Pseudomonadati; Pseudomonadota; Betaproteobacteria; Rhodocyclales; Rhodocyclaceae. The record is from RNAcentral.
ACCCGCACAAGCGGUGGAUGAUGUGGAUUAAUUCGAUGCAACGCGAAAAACCUUUACCUACCCUUGACAUGUCCGGAAUCCCGAAGAGAUUUGGGAGUGCUCGCAAGAGAACCGGAACACAGGUGCUGCAUGGCUGUCGUCAGCUCGUGUCGUGAGAUGUUGGGUUAAGUCCCGCAGCGAGCGCAACCCUUGUCAUUAGUUGCCAUCAUUUGGUUGGGCACUCUAAUGAGACUGCCGGUGACAAACCGGAGGAAGGUGGGGAUGACGUCAAGUCCUCAUGGCCCUUAUGGGUAGGGCUUCACACGUCAUACAAUGGUCGGUACAGAGGGUUGCCAACCCGCGAGGGGGAGCUAAUCCCACAAAGCCGAUCGUAGUCCGGAUCGCAGUCUGCAACUCGACUGCGUGAAGUCGGAAUCGCUAGUAAUCGUGGAUCAGCAUGUCACGGUGAAUACGUUCCCAGGUCUU